Molecule: RNA transcript, 2169 nt
Organism: Salvia splendens (bonfire salvia)
Lineage: Eukaryota; Viridiplantae; Streptophyta; Magnoliopsida; Lamiales; Lamiaceae
Exons: 4
Source: RefSeq, a predicted model, not a curated record
UUCUUGGUUGUAAUUGAGUUACCAUUGGGGGUUAUUAGGAUUUACAGAUUUUGUAUGUCCUUUCACCCCAAACAGAUUCCUCGUUUAGCAUUACCAUUUCCUAUCUCAGUCGCCUCAUCAUGCCAAUAUCCAUAUCAACUUAUCAUGUGUGAAUAAUAUAUUAUAUGUCCACUCAGGUAUAUUGAAGAAAACUAUUCUAAGAUUCGUGAUGUCGAGCGAGAACUUGCCAACCUCUCGAUGGAAAUGAAGCUUACAGCUGGUCCAAAGAAAGCUGCACUUGAACGCCUACGGAAGAAAAUAGAAAUGUCAACAGAGAGAAUUCGAUUGGCUAAGAUGAAAGAAGAACAAGCUAAAAAGAAUUUGUACUUCUACUUUUCUCCGUACUCUCUGAUAAACACUGUUCCUAUCGCUAGGCCUGGGAAGCAGCAGCAAAAGACGUACAGGAUGAGGAAGCGAGCAAACAGAAGCUUUGUGACGAUCUAAAUAAUUUGGUCCAGGAAAGUAGCAACAGCCAACUUGCUCGACUGGAGGAACUGAAGCGCCGAAUGGAGUCUCUGAACCCGAGCAGAUCUUCCAAUACACAUACGCCCUCAGUAUGAUUCACUCAGACCUUCAUCUUGGAGUAUGCAUAUGCACUUAGUUUAUUCGUUUCUCUAUGCUUAAUGCUUUUGUUCUCUCCCCUAUGGUUGCGUUUCCAAGUAAACAAAUACGAGUUACCUCCCUAAACAAAAAGAAGAAUAGAUAAAGCGAGGAGAAAGAGAAAAAAAUGUGAAUAAUAAAUUAAGAAUAGUUUUAGUUUUAGGUUUGAAACUAGCUAAUUAUAGUGAAUGGAACAAUUAUCUUGAUAAAAGCAAUAUUUGGAUACAUUAUUUUAUAUCAUAAACUAAAAAUCUUGGAAAAAAUGGGCGAUAAUAUGAGAGUUAGUACACAGCAAAUAAGCAAUUAAAGAAAUAUUAAUGACAUUAUACUCAGAAAUCCACUUGAAUAGGUUGAUAAAAACAUUGAAUUUGACAUAACAUAGUGCAAAACAAAACUAGUGCAUAAAUCGUAGCUAGCUAGUGUUAAUGUGGAUUUGGAGUGAACCAAAAGGUUUUUGCAAGCCUCCUGCCUCUAUGAGAGGGAUGAGAGGGAUAAUAGAUGGAAGAUAUCUUUGUAUCCACAUAAUUAAAGAUGCCAAUAUCAUUGCCGCCUCUUAGUGUCACAUAAUCAUCACAGAAAUAUAUGGAGUCGGGUGUCAAGUUGAAGUCAGCCGCCGGAAGCGCGAAUGAGUUGCUGGUUCUGACAAACAUUGCCAAACCAUCCAAUGAACCCUCCAUUUUGGUGAGUGUCCCUUUGUUGGCAUCGAUUUCAUAGACUUUGAAAUUAAAGGUUUUGCAUGGGUAGUCCAUACAAACAGUCAUGGCGUAUUUCAUGUGGGAUCCGUCGGGCCCGACACGCCUGUAGAUAUCACGCUCCACUAGAAAUAGGCGGUCGGAAUGCUCGUCCAUCACCAGAUAGUUGUGGUGAUUAGAUAAUCUUCCGAAGUAGCUGUCGUCAAACUUGAAGUCACCCUCGGAGUACAAGGGAUGCUCCCACAGAAAGGAGGGAGAUUCGAGGUCCCAGCACUCGACCGAGUUACUCGUUAAGCAGAACAGGCGUUUCUGGCGGGCGGAGUAGGCGAUAUCACGGUAGUAGACUGGGUUGCACACGGGGAGCCAGGUGCUCCUGUUGUGGCUGGGGAAGCAGAGCUCAAUGCGGCUGCUUUCGUAAUUGUAGGUGACGAUGGCGCGGAAGUCGUGGGCAUCGGGAGAGGAGGAGGUUAGGAUAAUAUUGGAGGGAAAAGGCCAACCAAGUUUGGGAAGCUUUAUAUGGCGACCGGUGAUGGGAUUGGAGAGGAAAGCCUGUUGGUUGUCUUGAUUGAAUGAUGCCAUCUAGCCGCGGUUACAUCCCAAGUCAUGUAUUACUUGGCCUUGUGCCCACGCCGGCGGUGGCGUCUCCUUCUUGAUGCUCACCAUUUUCUUCUCCGCAAGGCUGUACAACUUAGUACUACUCCUAUAUGGUAGCAUCAGCCAAGGGGAUAUUGAUAUUUUGCAAUAAUUCCUACGGAAUAUAAAUUGGAGACUCAUUGGAGUAUACUAUAAUAAUAUCCCUAUCCCUAUCCCUCCAAUUAAUAUAUUGAAUUCACUCUUA